Long non-coding RNA from Oncorhynchus tshawytscha (Chinook salmon), 560 nucleotides. Lineage: Eukaryota; Metazoa; Chordata; Actinopteri; Salmoniformes; Salmonidae. The record is from Ensembl.
CACCACCCAUAUUAAUCAGGUCAAACCUAACCACUCAUAUUGAUCAGGUCACACCUCACCACCCAUAUUAAUCAGGUUACACCUCGCCACACAUAUUAAUCAGGUCGCACCUCACCACCCAUAUUGAUCAGGUCACAUCUCACCCCCCAUAUUGAUCAGGUCACACCUCACCAUCACAUCAAUCAGGACACACCUCACCACCCAUAUUAAUCAGGUCACACCUCCCCACGCAUAUUGAUCAGGUAUCCCCUCACCAUCUUAUAAAUCAGGUCACACCUCACCACCCAUAUUGAUCAGGUCACACUUCAGCAUCCACAUUUAUCAUGUCACAGCUCACCACCCAUAUUGGUCCAGUCACACCUCACCACCCAUAUUGAUCAGGUCACACCUCACCACCCAUAUUAAUCAGGUCACACCUCACCAUCAUAUCAAUCAGGUCACACCUCACCACCCAUUUUUAUCAGGUCACACCUCACCACCCAUAUUGAUCAGGUCACAUCUCACCCCCCAUAUUGAUCAGGUCACACCUCACAACCCAUAUUGAUCAGGUCACAUCUCAC